AGUGGCGGACGGGUGAGUAACGCGUGAGAAUCUGCCUUGGGGUCGGGGACAACCACUGGAAACGGUGGCUAAUACCGGAUAAGCCGAUUGGUGAAAGAUUUAUUGCCCGAAGAGGAGCUCGCGUCUGAUUAGCUAGUUGGUGAGGUAAGAGCUCACCAAGGCAGCGAUCAGUAGCUGGUCUGAGAGGACGAUCAGCCACACUGGGACUGAGACACGGCCCAGACUCCUACGGGAGGCAGCAGUGGGGAAUUUUCCGCAAUGGGCGAAAGCCUGACGGAGCAAGACCGCGUGAGGGACGAAGGCUCUUGGGUUGUAAACCUCUUUUCUCAGGGAAGAAGCUCUGACGGUACCUGAGGAAUCAGCCUCGGCUAACUCCGUGCCAGCAGCCGCGGUAAUACGGAGGAGGCAAGCGUUAUCCGGAAUUAUUGGGCGUAAAGCGUCCGCAGGUGGCGAUUCAAGUCUGCUGUCAAAGCACGGGGCUUAACUCCGUAAAGGCAGUGGAAACUGAAUAGCUAGAGUGCCGUAGGGGUAGAGGGAAUUCCCGGUGUAGCGGUGAAAUGCGUAGAGAUCGGGAAGAACAUCGGUGGCGAAAGCGCUCUACUGGACGGCAACUGACACUCAGGGACGAAAGCUAGGGGAGCGAAUGGGAUUAGAUACCCC
RNAcentral lists this ribosomal RNA (660 nucleotides) under uncultured bacterium. RNAcentral's name for it is "bacterial SSU rRNA". It matches the Rfam family "Bacterial small subunit ribosomal RNA", at positions 94 to 788 of the family's 1533-position model. The record is from RNAcentral.